This 470-nucleotide ribosomal RNA is filed under the name uncultured bacterium. RNAcentral's name for it is "partial 16S ribosomal RNA". It matches the Rfam family "Bacterial small subunit ribosomal RNA", at positions 28 to 507 of the family's 1533-position model. The record is from RNAcentral.
GACGAACGCUGGCGGCGUGCUUAACACAUGCAAGUCGAACGAGUUCCAAUGUGUAGCAAUACACAGGAAGAUCUAGUGGCGAACGGGUGAGGAACACGUGAGAAACGUACCCCAGACUUUGGGAUAACAGUCCGAAAGGACUGCUAAUACCAAAUAACGUCGGAAGUCCGCAUGGACAUCUGACGAAAGGGAUUCCGGUUUGGGAGCGUCUCGCGGACCUAUCAGCUAGUUGGAGGGGUAACGGCCCACCAAGGCAACGACGGGUAGCUGGUCUGAGAGGAUGGUCAGCCACACUGGGACUGAGACACGGCCCAGACUCCUACGGGAGGCAGCAGUGGGGAAUCUUGCGCAAUGGGCGAAAGCCUGACGCAGCAACGCCGCGUGCGGGAAGAAGGCUUUCGGGCUGUAAACCGCUUUCAGUAGGAACGAAACUGACGGUACCUACAGAAGAAGGAGCGGCCAACUAUGUG